Molecule: ribosomal RNA, 522 nt
Filed under: uncultured Archaeospora
Lineage: Eukaryota; Fungi; Glomeromycota; Glomeromycetes; Archaeosporales; Archaeosporaceae
Description: SSU rRNA
Rfam family: Eukaryotic small subunit ribosomal RNA
Source: RNAcentral
CGCAGCCGCGGUAAUUCCAGCUCCAAUAGCGUAUAUUAAAGUUGUUGCAGUUAAAAAGCUCGUAGUUGAAUUUUGGAUUCUUCCAAUUGGUCCAUCUUUUAGAUGAGUACUGGUUGUGUGGGGUCUAUCCGCCUGGUGAUACGUAAUGUCCUUUAUUGGAUGUUGCGGGUAGUCAGGACCUUUACCUUGAAAAAAUUAGAGUGUUUAAAGCAGGCUUAUGCCGGAAUACAUUAGCAUGGAAUAAUAGAAUAGGACGAAGUUGUUUUAUUUUGUCGGUUUCUAGGACAACCGUAAUGAUUAAUAGGGAUAGUUGGGGGCAUUAGUAUUCAAUUGUCAGAGGUGAAAUUCUUGGAUUUAUUGAAGACUAACUACUGCGAAAGCAUUUGCCAAGGAUGUUUUCAUUAAUCAAGAACGAAAGUUAGGGGAUCGAAGACGAUCAGAUACCGUCGUAGUCUUAACCAUAAACUAUGCCGACUAGGGAUCGGGCGAUGUUGUUUCCAUGACUCGCUCGGCACCUUAUGG